This 419-nucleotide ribosomal RNA is filed under the name uncultured bacterium. RNAcentral describes it as "bacterial SSU rRNA". It matches the Rfam family "Archaeal small subunit ribosomal RNA", at positions 456 to 875 of the family's 1478-position model. The record is from RNAcentral.
GGCCAGCAGCCGCGGUAAUACCAGCUCUCCGAGUGGUGUGGAUGUUUAUUGGGCCUAAAGCAUCCGUAGCUGGCUAAGUUAGUCCCUUGUUAAAUCCACCGAAUUAAUCGUUGGAUCGCGGGGGAUACUGCUUGGCUAGGGGACGAGAGAGGCAGACGGUAUUUUCGGGGUAGGGGUGAAAUCCUAUAAUCCCGGGAAGACCACCAGUGGCGAAGGCUGUCUGCUAGAACGCGCCCGACGGUGAGGGAUGAAAGCUGGGGGAGCGAACCGGAUUAGAUACCCGGGUAGUCCCAGCUGUAAACGAUGCAGACUAGGUGUUUGGACGGCCACGUGCCGUUCUAGUGCCGCAGGGAAGCUGUUAAGUCUGCCGCCUGGGGAGUACGAUCGCAAGAUUGAAACUUAAAGGAAUUGGCGGGGGA